Molecule: long non-coding RNA, 8738 nt
Filed under: Cucumis sativus (cucumber)
Lineage: Eukaryota; Viridiplantae; Streptophyta; Magnoliopsida; Cucurbitales; Cucurbitaceae
Description: long non-coding RNA (CSAT_LNC003006)
Source: RNAcentral
CUUGGCAGCCUCCACAACUUGGAGUUAUUUAGUUUGUAAUUUGUUUGUAUUUGAAAACAAUUAUUGAGUGUCUUUCUCACAUAAAAAUUGAAAAAAUAAAAAAAUCAAAGCUGGAUAAAUGAUGAGAUCUAAAAUAAAGUCAAAAGGGAAAUGGUUUUUAACAAAUAGUUUAAUUUCAUUUUUUAUCACAUCUUGAAUCUUUCUUUUAAUAUUAAGUUAGGCAGAUCCAGUAAAAUUUAUUUUAAUGAUGAUUUUGGAAACAACUUUGGUGGAUAUUUUAUUCGGUGCCCAAACUUUAUUUUAAUAUCUGCCUAACUUAAUUAGAUCUAAUGUCUUGUUUAAUUAAUAGGAAACUGAACUUUUAGAUGAUUUAUAAUUUAUCUGAUAGAAAUAUUCUAAAAGUUUAUAAAUUUUGAAAUUUUGUUAGAGUUUGAUUCAUUUUGUUCAUUUGAAAACCAUCUUAUUUUUAUUUAUUAAGUAUUUGAUUUUCUUUUAAUUUUUGAAAAUUAAAGUUAAUAAACCCUCUUUUAAUUUUUUCUUUUUUUCUCUUUUUGAAACAUAGUUAGUGUACACCUAAUUUACUACUUUUAUAUAUAACAGAUUUACUUUCUAUUCAUAUUUUCAAAAGUUAAACUAAAGUAUAAAUCUAUCAUUAGAAAACUUGAAAACCAUAGAUUGAAAGAUUGGUUAAAAACCUAAAAGUUUUAGUUUCAUUUAAAUAACAUACAUCAACUUGAACUUGAAAAAUAAAUGUUGUAAGUUCGAAUAUUUCUUUCAAAACAAAUAUAUAUGGGUAAUAGUUGCUAAGAAGUCUAACCAUAAAUCUUGAGAUACAAUUGAUAAUAUUUGAAAUGUACACAUUUGAGAGUUAUGCUCACAUUAAUACGAAAAAACCUAUUAUUGCAAAGUUCCAAAUAUUUUUAUAUAUAUCAUUUUCGAUAACUUCAUAUUUUUAAACAAUAUUUGUUUGCUAUUUCAUCUUAAUGGCUAUUUUCGAAGGUGAUGUUUAGAGAAUUUCAUCUCACUACUUCCACUUUUUAAAUAACUAAAAGAAGAUUGAAUAUACAAAAUUAAAUUAAUAUAAGUGGGAGAAGAAGUAAUUAAAACUUCAAACCCAGUUGUGUGAGCAAUGAUCCAUCUCAUAAUGAUCUCACACUAAAUUUAAUUAUAUUUGUAUCUACCUCAUAUUAAUUAAUAAUAUUAUCGCCUUUAUAAAAAAGAAAAAGAAUAUAUUACAUUUAUUGGCCAAUUUGACCCUGAGUCACCAUUGGACCUAAUUUUGGAUAAGAGAUUGAACAAGUAGUAAACAAUAAAUUUGACAGCUAUUUUCAAACAAUACAAUUUUGGUAGCAAAGAUAAUACCAAUUCUUACAUUAACAUAUAUUCAUUUUUAAAUAUUUACGGCUAUAUAUUAUCAUUCACUAAUAAAUUUUUUACUAUAUUUUAAAAUAUUCUUAACCAUUUUUUCAUUUAAUACAAUUUUUAUAUAGAAUUAUUGCUUCUAAAAAAAUAAUAUAGUACAUGUCCUCAAGAAUCAAAUAUAUGGUGACCAAACAUGUCAAUUUUUUAAAAUAUUAAAUGUGAUACACAUUUGACAAAUUCAUUAAUUAACAACUCCUUUUAUCAUUAUUUUUUUUCAACUUUCUACGCUAUUAUCUUUUUUUUUUAUUGGUUUUAUUUUUUAAUAAAUUAACUAUUGCUCAUUAUAUAUUAUAACUUAAGGGCCAAAAUGUCAUACGUUCAUAUUGAGGGUCAGAAAACAAUUUGGAUUUCAUUGACUAACAGGUUCCUGUGAUAUAUAUUAAUUAAUUGAGAGUUAAUCACAACAAUAUCGUAUGCAUAUUAUUUUUUUUAUCUUCCAUAUUCCAAUCCGAUCAAGAAGUUUAAUUGUUAGUGCACAUUCCAAUCUUCAUUUCUUCAUUUAAAUUUUCCUUUUAAAAGAUUUUUUUCUCUUUUGGUUUGUGUCUUUUUAAUUUUGUGAGUUGUGAUAUGAUUGCUUUUUCAUGCAUUUCUCUGUCUUCAUAUAUGUUUUAUAUUAAAUUACAUACCUUUAUUUAUAUAUUUUGAAUGUUAUAUAUAUCUCUAAUCUCUAAAUUUUUCAAAAUUUUUCAAUUAAGUUUUUCAAUUUGGAUAAUACUAGACUAACAAUUUAUUUUUCAAUCUUCCUGCAAUUUAAUAGAUUAAAAUUAUAUUAUAUUUUUCCACAAAAUUUAAAGAAUUCAUUUUUAAAUGUAAUAUUAUAAUUAUAAACUAAAAUAUCUACUAAUAUAGUAAAAUUUAUCACGAUAUAUUUAAUUUUUUUAGCAAUUUUCGUUUAAAACAAAUUUAUAAAGUUUGGCAUUUUCGCCCUCCACUUUUAAAAUGAAGUUGAUAGCUAAGUAGAGAGAUGAAAAAAAAAAAAAGCGUAGGCGAAUAAUAGUUUGAUUAAAUUAAACCAAAUAGCAUUGUUUUUGGUUUUUUAAAAGCGGAAAUCCGUCCAACUAGGCGCCAAGUCACAGGUUUGACCGAAACAUCCGAGAAUGGAUAGAUAAACCAAUUGUGCAUUAAUAUUCCUCCCAAAGAACACUUGUGUUCAUGUACAUGUAUCCAUCCAUGUGUCGUUUAUCUCUCUAUCGCACAUAAAUCAGAUUAAAAUGUUCAUUUUAUUUUAAUUUUUAUGGACAGAUGGAGAUUAUAUAAACAGGUGUAUCUUAUAAUACUUAUUCAUUUUAGAUAUGAAAAAGUGUGAUAGUAAAUAAAUCAAUAAGUUCAAACAAAUGAAUAAAUAAGCUUAUUCAUUUGUAGUUUGUACUGCUUUUAUCACGAUAAUAUUAUUAUUUUGAUAUUUAUAUUUGUAGUUUCAUCGUCUUCGUUUUAUCAUUUCACAAUUUUUAAAAUAUCUACUAAAUAUAUUAUCUAUAUUUACUAGUUGAGUUAUUUGUGAAUUUAGAAUGUUCGUUUUCUAAGUGAAAAGUUGAAUUGAAUUCGAAAACCUAUAAAAAAAAUGUUAAAUAAAUUGAGUUAUCGUAAAUAUAUCGUUUAUUUGCUUUUACUAAUCUUUUAAAUAUUCGAUUGAAUUGUCUUACAUCUCACAUUGUGAUUUUUAAAAUUUAGAGCUUAGGCAUAUUGUGGGCAGUAUGUCCUAAACCCUAACUUUCCAUUUGACAAAAGUUAUAAUUAAACAAAGAAAAAUUGUUUUAAUAUAUUGCGUUUCUCAUACAUACAUCGAUUUAAAAAUAUAUUGUAAGUUCGUUUAUCAUACAACAAAUCGUAUUAUAUCUAGCUAACUCCGAUAAGAUAAGAUUGUUAUAGUUUCUAUUGUGUUUGAUUUCUAGCACACUGUUAUAGAAUCCUCCAAUAAUAUUGAACACAUAUGAAUGGCUAAAAAUGAUUUGAUUAGCUAACAACUUUUCCUAACCCAAACCCAACAUAUCUUUUACUUACGUAUCUGAACUAUUUCUCACCUACUCCCACUUUAAACAACUCACACCCAACACAAAAAUAUUCAAUGUCAAAAUACCAUAUGAUUCUUACGUGCAUACGUACACUCCCCACAAAAAUUUAAUUAAUUAAUCUAUUCUCUUAUAUAUAUAUAGUUGAUGGCUCAUAUGUAACCUUGAUUAUAGUUUAACUAGAAAAAAAUACAGAAACUCUAGAAAAAAAUGUUGGAAGUUUGAAAUUUCAUCUAUAUUUAUAGGCCUGGAUCAUAAUUUGGUUAGUAUCUUCACAUACAAUUUUCUUUUAUGAUCUAACCAUUAACCCUAACAAUUAUUGUUAGGUUAUGUAAUAAUAUUAUUUAAAUAACUGUUUUGAUCUUAAAUUGUAAGGAUGUAGAUAAUUUAGUUUCUAUACUUACCAAUUUGUAUAAAUUUAGUUUAAUCUUUAAUGUGUAGUAUUAUAACGAUCCUUUGUAGUUUAAAAGUGGUAAUGAUUUAAGUCCUAAACAAAGCUUCCUGCUUCUGUAACUAAAAUUGAGUGAAAAUCAAUUAAAUAUCAAUGAGUAUAUAGUUAAGUGAUUAAUAUCUAUAUUUCAUUUUGAUAAAAUAUUUCACCAUCAAAACUAAAAUACUAAUGUAUGACAUAUAAAAAAUAAAUGGUUACAAAUUUGCUAUUAAGAUGUAUACAUAAAGUGGACAAUAUCAUACUAUACACGGUAGAAAUAUUUAAAAAAUUUGUUGUCCUAAUACAACAUAUAUCAUUACAUCAUUGUCGUUUCAAUUAUGAAAGAAAAGUGUAUAAAAGUAUUGCUUACACAAUAAACUAUAUAUGACUUACACAAUCCAAAGGAAAGGAAAGAAAAAACAUGAAAUGCUUUUAAAAAUAGAUAUUUUCCAAUGAUACAAUUUUAAUUUUAAUUUGAGCAUAUUGUAGGUUUGAAUCUGUUCUCACUCUAAUGUUAUAACUUAUAGUCUAUCGAAAAAAAAAUUCAAAAAUUUGAAUAAAGCUAUUGAUCCAAGUAAAUUGAAUCAAGACUUGAUCAUAAAAAGCAACAUUCAUUCGCAAAUUAAUUUGCACACUGUAUGCUGAGACGUUCAUUCCACUUUCACCAUUGAGAUUUGAUUUUCGAAAAUUAAACUAAUAAUUUUUCGUUUUUUUUCUUUCAUUUUUAAUUUCUUUUUAUUUAAGAGUUUUGAUUUAUAAUAAUAAGUGGCUAAUAAAAUUACCCUCAUUAAUAUUAAUAUAUAGUCUAGAUCAUAUAUAUGUAUAUGAAUGUCACCUAAUCAGAUCAACUUGUCUAUCAACCUUAUUAAAUGUAAGUGUAGACUUAUUAGGAAGAAAAUUUCCAUUUUGUGAUGCCUCAAUUGGAAUUAAUUUUGACUAGGAUAAACUAUUAAAUUAUCUCCAAAAUUUUAUAUUACAUUAAUGAUAAACACCUAAUAGACAAUUUAUAUCCAUGUCUAUCAAUAUCAACUAUAAUGAUAUAUAAUUUUUUUUUAUAUUUUGUAAAUAUUUUGAUUUAUUUCGUUAUAUUUGAAAAUAUAUGUUAUCUUUUUCUUUCAAAAAUAUGGUUGAGGAUAUCACAAUCACAACAAAUAAAAAAUGUAUAUAUAAAUUUACGGUCAAAUUCUUACCUUGAUAACUCAUAUUUUGAUGGAAUCCAUAUAUAUUAAUUAACAACAUAACAUUUUAUUAAUUUCCUUGGGGAAAAAGAAUAGAAAAAGUAUUUGUGGGCACCAUUAUGUAAUUGGAGUUGAUAGGUAAAUUAAAUUGAGAAAGUAGGAAGAGGAAAUAAAAGUUGAGCUUAGAGUAGUUGGAAUGAAGCAAACAAAAAAAUCAGAGGUUUUUAAUGCAUAUAUUGGAAAAAUAGGUUUUAUUUUUCUAUUUGAUAUGAACAUAAAUAAUCAAUUCAAAUUAAAUUAAACAUUAAAUUAAAUCAUUUAUUGUAAUAGAUUAUUCCAAAAAGGAAGAACCAAUCUACCAUAAAGACAAAAAGAUUUAUAGUCUCUUAGGUUAACAUAAGAAAAAAAUAUUUUGUAAGAAACUUAUGUUUGUUUAAAUUUAUUUUUAAAAAUGCUUAAAAUAUAUUUAAAAAACUGUUUUUAGUAGCUUCCAAAUAAUAAUCUAAUUUUCUUCCAAAUAAUUUAUUUUUUAAAUUAAACAUUUGAAAGUUAGAAUGACUCCAACCUCAAUAAUUCACCUUUGGGUAUGUAAAUGAAUCUAGACCCUCUUAAAAUCUAAUUACAUUCUAUUUCUUUCAUUCACGAAUUUAUUUUAGAAAAAUAUAUCAAUUAUGUUUAAAAAUUUAUUAUAAAUAACAAAAAUAUUUAUAAAAUAUAAAUUUACAUUAUUUCUAUCCAUAUAACUUAUAAAUACUAAUAAUUUCCGGUAGAUUUGAGUUUUAUUAUAUUUUGUAAAAGAAAAAAAUUGUUCAUUUUGUUAUUUUAAAAAUGUUCCAUCAUAUUUCUUAGAUUAAAGUUAGAAUAUGUUACUAAGUUUUAAUUUGUAUUGAAAAGAUUAACAAUGUCUUAUAUUAGUAACUUUAAAUUUUGUUUAUAAUAUAUUAGUAAAUUCUUAAGAAACAUAAUAUAACGAAUUGUUUUGUAGCAUGAUUAAAAAGACUCAUUAUAUAUGUUUUAAAAUCCAAAAAACUAAAUUUGUAAUUUAUAGUCUAUAUUCAAGUUCUCAAAUUAUUAUUUAAAUAUUUCUAACACAAUUUAACAAAAAAAUAUAAUUUUGACACAUACAUGUUCAAGUGGUUAAUGCAUAGUAUAUGUAAGUUAUAAAUUGUGUAAACGAUAGCACGUAGAUUAAAUAGAAUAAGAUAUAGAUGCUUUUUACAUAUUCAGACUAAGAACUUAUUUGUCUGGUUGAAUUAUGGUCUCAUUCACGUAGUAUACAUUACAAAAGGAAAGGAAUUUGAGAAGAGAAGUGAUUCAAAAAGAAGAAAAAAGGAAAAUGAAAAGAACAAAAGAAAAAAGAAAAAGUAUAGAUAGGAAGUAUUUGAAUAGGAACCCAGUGGUCGCCCACAGAAAAACGUAGGAGUAAACGCCAAGGCCAUGCAAAUUGUGUAACAGUGAAAGCAACCCUACAAAAUGGACCAUCGCUCCCAUUCUCAAAGCUUAAAAAUUAGAUGAAGAAUAAGUCAAGCCGCCGGUCCCACUCCAUCAACCCCUCCUCCUAAUUCCAACACUAAUUCACCAAAUUAUAUUUUCAAUUUAAUUAUUUCUUUCUCUUUCUAGCUAAUUACUUUUUAUAUUACACCAAUUAUUAACAUCAUUUUGAGAUUUGAGUAACUUUAAUUAUAUAAAUUUAUUUACAUAUCUAACUAGUAACACUGUUGGUGUAUGUAAGAUUAAUUUAACUAUAUAUGUGUUUAUUAUCAGCUUAAGCAACCCUGAUGAACAAAAAUAUCUCACAUCUUUAAUGUCAGAUAUACACACAUAUAUGUAUAUAUUGAAAAGGUAAAAUCCUUGGUGGAAGGUUAUAUAAAAUUAGUCCAAACAUGAUGACAACACAUAAUAUUAUUUUAACUAUCUUGUCAUCUACCGACAAUAAUAUGUGUGCAUGUCUAUAUGAUUUCAUGGUUUUUAAUUAAAAAAAAAUUAGGUGGAGUAAUUAAAUUAGAUUUCACCGGUGAUCAUUAUGUUAAGACUUGAGAGGGGGGUUUGAGUGAGUGAAGUGGGUAAAAGGACAAAGCUAUAUAAAGGGAGGAAAGGCAGUGUUAAAAACCCACCAAUCCAUUCAAGGAUGGGAAAAAUGGGAUCUUCAAUGGCUCCUAUUCUUUUUGCUGCCUUUGUUGCUCUCCUUUCCCUAACUCUGCCGUCCACUACCAAUGCUAAUUAUAUCUACGCUUCUCCUCCUCCACCUAAGAAGGUAUAUUACCCGCCUCCAGUAUACCAUUCUCCUCCACCACCCAAGAAAUCAUACUAUCCACUCCAGUGUAUCACUCUCCACCACCACCCAAGAAGGUUUACUAUCCACCACCAGUUUACUCUCCACCACCACCAAAGAAGGUGUAUUACCCACCUCCUGUCUACAAGUCUCCUCCGCCACCCAAGAAGGUUUAUUACCCACCUCCCGUCUACAAGUCUCCUCCGCCACCUAAGAAGGUGUACCCACCUCCCGUCUACAAGUCUCCCCCGCCCCAAGAAGGUGUACUACCCACCUCCCGUCUACAAGUCUCCCCCACCUCCCAAGAAGGUGUACUACCCACCUCCGUCUACAAGUCUCCCCCACCUCCCAAGAAGGUAUACUACCUCCUCCCGUCUAUAAGUCUCCUCCACCACCAAAGAAGGUAUACUACCCACCUCCAGUCUACAAGUCUCCCCCACCUCCCAAGAAGGUAUACUAUCCACCACGUCUAUAAGUCUCCUCCACCACCAAAGAAAGUAUACUACCCACCACCAGUCUACUCACCACCACCGCCAAAGAAGGUAUACUACCCACCUCCCGUCUACUCACCACCACCACCGAAGAAGGUGUACUACCCACCUCCCGUCUACUCACCACCACCACCGAAGAAGGUGUACUACCCACCUCCCGUCUACUCACCACCACCACCGAAGAAGUAUACUACCCACCCCCGUCUACUCACCACCACCACCGAAGAAGGUAUACUACCCACCACCCGUCUACUCUCCACCACCACCGAAGAAGGUAUACUACCCACCACCCGUCUACUCUCCACCACCACCGAAGAAGGUAUACUACCACCACCCGUCUACUCUCCACCACCACCGAAGAAGGUAUACUACCCUCCUCCCGUCUACUCUCCACCACCACCAAAGAAAGUAUACUAUCCACCUCCCGUCUACUCUCCACCACCACCAGUAUACCACUCCCCCACCUCCGGUCUAUCAUUCUCCACCACCACCAGUAUACCAUUCCCCACCACCUCCCGUUUAUUACUACUCAUCGCCACCGCCACCUCCACACUACUAGGAAUUAAAUGUCCUAGGUCAAGGUAAUUUUAAAUCUCCCACCAAAUUGCGUUGUCUUUUCUCCACGUAUAUAACAGUAAACAUAACUAAUAAUAUAUGUUACUUUCAAAGGACAGAGAAAUGUGGAUGAAAAUGAAAACAAACAAAUAAUAAUUCUGUGGAUUUUUAACAUCAUAAAAAUUUGGUUGGCCGUCACUAAAAUUUGGACUACUGUUUAUGAUUUAUAUCCAAAAUUCAGUGGUAGGGACCCCAAUAGAUAGAGAAAAUUCAAAAAUAAAAAACAAAAACUUGGGUCCAAAUAAUUAAUUUUGGUUAAUUUGUUGUGUUGUGCAGGGAUCUGAAGAUGAGAAUAUAUAUAUGUGGAAGUCAAAAUAAGAG